GACGAACGCUGGCGGCGUGCCUAAUACAUGCAAGUUGAGCGCUGAAGGUUGGUACUUGUACCAACUGGAUGAGCAGCGAACGGGUGAGUAACGCGUGGGGAAUCUGCCUUUGAGCGGGGGACAACAUUUGGAAACGAAUGCUAAUACCGCAUAAAAACUUUAAACACAAGUUUUAAGUUUGAAAGAUGCAAUUGCAUCACUCAAAGAUGAUCCCGCGUUGUAUUAGCUAGUUGGUGAGGUAAAGGCUCACCAAGGCGAUGAUACAUAGCCGACCUGAGAGGGUGAUCGGCCACAUUGGGACUGAGACACGGCCCAAACUCCUACGGGAGGCAGCAGUAGGGAAUCUUCGGCAAUGGACGAAAGUCUGACCGAGCAACGCCGCGUGAGUGAAGAAGGUUUUCGGAUCGUAAAACUCUGUGGGUAGAGAAGAACGUUGGUGAGAGUGGAAAGCUCAUCAAGUGACGGUAACUACCCAGAAAGGGACGGCUAACUACGUG
Molecule: ribosomal RNA, 497 nt
Filed under: uncultured bacterium
Lineage: Bacteria
Description: partial 16S ribosomal RNA
Rfam family: Bacterial small subunit ribosomal RNA
Source: RNAcentral